Molecule: transfer RNA, 64 nt
Filed under: Plesionika lophotes
Lineage: Eukaryota; Metazoa; Arthropoda; Malacostraca; Decapoda; Pandalidae
Description: tRNA-Pro
Source: RNAcentral
CAGAAAAUAAUUUAAAUAAAAUAUUAGUUUUGGGGGCUAAAAAUGGGAGUAAUCUCUUUUCUGA